Long non-coding RNA from Oryzias latipes (Japanese medaka), 1185 nucleotides. RefSeq lists it as uncharacterized. The record is from RefSeq and is a predicted model, not a curated record. Lineage: Eukaryota; Metazoa; Chordata; Actinopteri; Beloniformes; Adrianichthyidae.
AACCCGAAUAGUCCAAUGAGCUCAAAAGUUUUAUAAUCACUGAACUCAAAAGUAACAAACAAGUUGAGUCAGCUUAAAACCUAUAAGCCGAUUGAACUUUUGCCACAGUUAUAUGUUUAUUGGACUAAAACAUUUUGAGUAAAUGAAACCUUGGAGUCAAAACUUAUGAGUAAUGAGACGUGAUGACGUCGUAACGUACGCCCAUGAACGUGAACUCAGCCACAGAAGUCUUCAAGAUGGCGGAGGUCUGAUGCGAGUGUCAGCUGGCCCAAGUUGAUAACGCACAUACGUCUAGAUGUGAGCUGAGUUUCAUCGCAUCACAAAUGUCAACCUGCGAAAACCGUUUUAUUUUGACCUGGACAGACAGACGCAGAGGAUGCUGAUCUUGUUGAGAAAGAAGGCAGCACGAACCGGAAGGCUCUAUGCGACUUUCUGCACCUCUAUGAUAAACAGCAAGAGCAGACUGCUGAUGUCAAAGGUACUCCUGUCCUGUACUGGCUUCCCAUAUACAAACGUGAGGAGGACCCACAGUUCUUCAAAGUUUGGAAUGUAAGUACUUUAUGAUGGAUAUGCUGGUUAAUACUCCAGCUGUGUGGGUAAUACAACUUAACCAUAAAGUCAUGCCAAAGCAAUAUUAUGUGGCAGAGCACAUAGUCUCCUAAAAUAUUGCACUCCAGCUCAUCUGUGCUCCUGUACCUGACCGUGGACCUCGCCUCUGACUCGUCUUGGGCCCACAGCCGUCCCCUAUUUCAUCUGGAUGACGCCAAUCUGCUGGACUUAAAAAAUGCAGUUGUUGAGCUAGAAAAUGUAAUUCUUCUCAAAGAGUUCUGGUACAUCGCCUGUCCGUCCUGGGGAGGAGUUUUUUUUUAUUUUAUUUUUAUAAAGGAGUUUUUACUAACUGUGUAAAAGGGUCUAAUGGCAGGGAUGUGAUGUGUGUAAAUGUGAUCCUGUUUUCAGAUGUCAUAUUUUUUAUUGUACAGUGCCUUAUGGAAUCAUGAGGACUCUUACAAAUAGUCUUAUUUUGAUUCCAUUUGAUCUUGUAUUAUAUAAGCUCUGUUCUUCCAGAUCCUUUUCAAGCAAUAAAUCAAGCUCUACAUGACUUUAGUUAAAGAUCACUGUAUUGAAUUAAGCAAAUGUGAUUUAAUUGACGUUUUUGUUUUAUUUUCUGUCUUUUUAAUCAAUGCA